This 398-nucleotide ribosomal RNA is filed under the name uncultured bacterium. RNAcentral's name for it is "bacterial SSU rRNA". It matches the Rfam family "Bacterial small subunit ribosomal RNA", at positions 30 to 419 of the family's 1533-position model. The record is from RNAcentral.
AUUGAACGCUGGCGGUAUGCAUAACACAUGCAAGUCGAACGGUAGCAGGUCUAGCUUGCUAGAUGCUGACGAGUGGCGGACGGGUGAGUAACGCGUAGGAAUCUGCCUUAUAGUGGGGGGAUAACCCUGGGGGAAACUCAGGGCUAAUACCGCAUAAGCCCGAGGGUGAAAGUGUGGGACCUGAAAAGGCCACAUGCUAUAAGAUGAGCCUGCGUAGGAUUAGCUAGUUGGUGGGGUAAAGGCUUACCAAGGCAAAGAUCCUUAACUGGUCUGAGAGGACGACCAGUCACACUGGGACUGAGACACGGCCCAGACUCCUACGGGAGGCAGCAGUGGGGAAUUUUGGACAAUGGGGGCAACCCUGAUCCAGCAAUGCCGCGUGAGUGAGGAAGGCCUUC